This 502-nucleotide ribosomal RNA is filed under the name uncultured bacterium. Its description in RNAcentral is "partial 16S ribosomal RNA". It matches the Rfam family "Bacterial small subunit ribosomal RNA", at positions 29 to 507 of the family's 1533-position model. The record is from RNAcentral.
ACGAACGCUGGCGGCGUGCCUAACACAUGCAAGUCGCACGAGAAAGGGGCUUCGGCUCCGAGUAAAGUGGCGCACGGGUGAGUAACACGUGGGUAACCUGCCUCUAAGAUUGGGAUAACUCGUCGAAAGAUGAGCUAAUACCGAAUAAGACCACAGUUCCCGCGGGAACAGGGGUCAAAGGUAGCCUCUGCUUGCAAGCUAUCACUUAGAGAUGGGCCUGCGCACCAUUUGCUAGUUGGUAGGGUAACGGCCUACCAAGGCAAAGAUGGUUAGCUGGUCUGAGAGGAUGAUCAGCCACACUGGAACUGAGACACGGUCCAGACUCCUACGGGAGGCAGCAGUGGGGAAUAUUGCGCAAUGGGCGAAAGCUUGACGCAGCAACGCCGCGUGAGUGAUGAAGGCCUUCGGGUCGUAAAGCUCUGUCGGGAGGAACGAAUGCUCCUGAGGUUAACAGCCUCGGGAGGUGACGGUACCUUCAAAGGAAGCACCGGCUAACUCUGUG